AACGCACAUUGCGCCCAUUAGUAUUCUAGUGGGCAUGCCUGUUCGAGCGUCAUUUCAACCCCUAAGCACAGCUUACUGUUGGGACUCUACGGCCUCCGUAGUUCCCCAAAGCGAUUGGCGGAGUGGCAGUAGUCCUCUGAGCGUAGUAAUUCUUUAUCUCGCUUUUGUUAGGUGCUGCCCCCCCGGCCGUGAAACCCCCAAUUUUUUCUGGUUGACCUCGGAUCAGGUAGGAAUACCCGCUGAACUUAA
Molecule: unclassified non-coding RNA, 249 nt
Filed under: uncultured Trichosphaeriales
Lineage: Eukaryota; Fungi; Ascomycota; Sordariomycetes; Trichosphaeriales
Description: sequence contains 5.8S rRNA gene, ITS2, 28S rRNA gene
Source: RNAcentral